RNAcentral lists this transfer RNA (85 nucleotides) under Felis catus (domestic cat). It matches the Rfam family "tRNA". Rfam says of the family: Transfer RNA (tRNA) molecules are approximately 80 nucleotides in length. Their secondary structure includes four short double-helical elements and three loops (D, anti-codon, and T loops). RNAcentral also lists the same sequence under 2 other names. Lineage: Eukaryota; Metazoa; Chordata; Mammalia; Carnivora; Felidae. The record is from Rfam by way of RNAcentral.
GCCUGGGUGGCUCAGUCGGUUAAGCAUCUGACUUCAGCUCAGGUCAUGAUCUCACAGUCCGUGAGUUCGAGCCCCACGUCGGGCU